This 330-nucleotide ribosomal RNA is filed under the name Escherichia coli. RNAcentral's name for it is "partial 23S ribosomal RNA". It matches the Rfam family "Bacterial large subunit ribosomal RNA", at positions 1273 to 1606 of the family's 2925-position model. Lineage: Bacteria; Pseudomonadati; Pseudomonadota; Gammaproteobacteria; Enterobacterales; Enterobacteriaceae. The record is from RNAcentral.
CUGGAGGUAUCAGAAGUGCGAAUGCUGACAUAAGUAACGAUAAAGCGGGUGAAAAGCCCGCUCGCCGGAAGACCAAGGGUUCCUGUCCAACGUUAAUCGGGGCAGGGUGAGUCGACCCCUAAGGCGAGGCCGAAAGGCGUAGUCGAUGGGAAACAGGUUAAUAUUCCUGUACUUGGUGUUACUGCGAAGGGGGGACGGAGAAGGCUAUGUUGGCCGGGCGACGGUUGUCCCGGUUUAAGCGUGUAGGCUGGUUUUCCAGGCAAAUCCGGAAAAUCAAGGCUGAGGCGUGAUGACGAGGCACUACGGUGCUGAAGCAACAAAUGCCCUGCU